AUGCUGAGGAAUGCUUCCUCUGGGGUUUCGACCGGCACGGCUAUUUGUCAUGGCCUCAGAAGCUGCUUGGCUACAGAGACCUGGAAGCUUGGGGAUCUCAAGAUACACCUUGACCAGUGGAGUCUGUCUGAGCCUUGUGUAACCUUGUCACGAUGUACCAGUUUAGUGGAUGAGGUCAUUCAAAUCACAGAAAAAAGUCGCCUUCACCUGCCUGUCAGAAUGCAUGGAAAUCACAAAUCUGGGGUCGUACCUGGAUAUCGAGAACAUCGUCUGGGAGCAUUGAACCCUUCCUACCCCUCCCUC
Molecule: long non-coding RNA, 303 nt
Filed under: Canis lupus familiaris (dog)
Lineage: Eukaryota; Metazoa; Chordata; Mammalia; Carnivora; Canidae
Description: lncRNA (ENSCAFG00845012343.1)
Source: RNAcentral